Molecule: ribosomal RNA, 529 nt
Filed under: uncultured bacterium
Lineage: Bacteria
Description: partial 16S ribosomal RNA
Rfam family: Bacterial small subunit ribosomal RNA
Source: RNAcentral
UGGGGAAUAUUGCACAAUGGGCGAAAGCCUGAUGCAGCAACGCCGCGUGAGGGACGACGGCCUUCGGGUUGUAAACCUCUUUUAGCAAGGAAGAAGCGAAAGUGACGGUACUUGCAGAAAAAGCGCCGGCUAACUACGUGCCAGCAGCCGCGGUAAUACGUAGGGCGCAAGCGUUAUCCGGAAUUAUUGGGCGUAAAGAGCUCGUAGGCGGCUUGUCGCGUCUGCUGUGAAAACCCGAGGCUCAACCUCGGGCCUGCAGUGGGUACGGGCAGACUAGAGUGCGGUAGGGGAGAUUGGAACUCCUGGUGUAGCGGUGGAAUGCGCAGAUAUCAGGAAGAACACCGAUGGCGAAGGCAGAUCUCUGGGCCGUAACUGACGCUGAGGAGCGAAAGGGUGGGGAGCAAACGGGCUUAGAUGACCCUGGUAGUCCACCCCGUAAACGUUGGGAACUAGUUGUGGGGUCCAUUCCACGGAUUCCGUGACGCAGCUAACGCAUUAAGUUCCCCGCCUGGGGAGUACGGCCGCAAGG